This is a long non-coding RNA of Raphanus sativus (radish), 838 nucleotides long. RefSeq lists it as uncharacterized. NCBI's taxonomy places the organism in Eukaryota, Viridiplantae, Streptophyta, Magnoliopsida, Brassicales, Brassicaceae. The record is from RefSeq and is a predicted model, not a curated record. The transcript is spliced from 4 exons.
GAUACAUUUUGGGCUGGUCCUUGGGAGCACGUGUCAGAAGCUGAUAGGGAAAUCGAAGGGGAAGACCUUUGGUCUUGAUUCAUUCUCUUCGGCUCCUUCUCUCUCUCUCUCGACAAAGCAAUUUCGUGAGGGAAGCAAGAUCGUCGCAAUCCACACCGAUUUCGCGUUUACUCGAAAGCCUGACCGCCGAAUCAAAUCUACACCAGUUCCUUCUCGAGCCUCGGCCUCGUUUCUCAUCAUCUCCGUUUUCUCCGUUGAAGUCACGGCGGUUCCCAUGAGGACUGAGAUCAGAUACAGUACCAGCUUCUGGAAUUUGUUGGUCGCCGUACUGUUCCACAAGUUUUUGUAAACGGCAAUCAUAUUGCAGGGAUGGGGAACUUCGGUUAUAGUUGGUGUUGCAGCAUCAGGACAAGAGGUAUCAACCCGACCGUUUCAACUCGUGACUGGCCAUGUAUGGAAAGGAACAGCUUUUGGUGGUUUCAAGAGUCGAACCCAAGUUCCUUGGCUUGUGGAGAAGUAUAUGAACAAGGAGAUAAAAGUGGAUGAGUACAUAACGCACAACAGGACCUUGGGAGAGAUCAACAAGGCUUUUGACCUGUUGCAUAAAGAGAUGUAUAACAACAUGGGACCUCAGCCUGGGAUGCCAAUGUUUAUAAUCCGAUCAUAGUUUAUAAUCUGUCCCUGUUUGGUCUUGGAUUGUAGAUCAUAGGAUCAUUGUAAUAAACAACUUGUUGGAUCUUGAACCAACUUGGUUCUUUUUACUUGUUUCCUGUUUGUAAAGAAUCAACUUGUUUGUUUUGUUUGAUUGGAACAUAUCACAAACUACUUUGAUCUGUUA